RNAcentral lists this RNase P RNA (411 nucleotides) under Sulfitobacter sp. SK012. Its description in RNAcentral is "Bacterial RNase P class A". It matches the Rfam family "Bacterial RNase P class A". Rfam says of the family: Ribonuclease P (RNase P) is a ubiquitous endoribonuclease, found in archaea, bacteria and eukarya as well as chloroplasts and mitochondria. Its best characterised activity is the generation of mature 5'-ends of tRNAs by cleaving the 5'-leader elements of precursor-tRNAs. Cellular RNase Ps are ribonucleoproteins. Lineage: Bacteria; Pseudomonadati; Pseudomonadota; Alphaproteobacteria; Rhodobacterales; Roseobacteraceae. The record is from Rfam by way of RNAcentral.
GCGGAAGGCUGGAUGAUCGCGGUGCUGGCAACAGUGUCGAGGAAAGUCCGGACUCCAAGAAGAUACGGUGCCGGGUAACGCCCGGGCGGGGCAACCCGACGGAAAGCGCCACAGAAAAUAGACCGCCGCUCAGACAGGUCGGGCAACCGAAACCAUCACGGGCGGUAAGGGUGAAACGGUGGAGUAAGAGCCCACCGCGCCGCUGGUAACAGGGGCGGCAUGGCAAGCCCUACCGGGAGCAAUGCCAAAUAGGGACCGCGCGUUCGCAAGGACGGGGCCACUUCUGCCCCAGCAGGUUCGGGUUGGCAGCUAUAGCUUUGUUGGCAACAACAAGGUCAGAGGAAUGGUCAUCCAUGGCUGUAGGCUUGCCUGCAGCCGGGACAGAACCCGGCUUACAGGCCUUCCGCGCAU